AGCCUCCACCACCCCCACUGAUACAUGAGGAAAUCAACAGAGAGAAGAUCCUAGAACUUACCAACAAGAUGAUUGAGCUGUUGACUGGAGAGGUUCCUAUAAGAUGUCAUGAUGUCACAAUCCAUUUUUCCAUGGAGGAGUGGGAGUAUUUAGAAGGACACAAAUAUCUGUACAAGGACAUCAUGAUGGAGGAUCACCGACCCCUCACACCACCAGUUAAGGAAGACAGAACACCAGAGAGAUGUCCCAGUCCUCUU
Long non-coding RNA from Bufo bufo (common toad), 257 nucleotides. RefSeq lists it as uncharacterized. NCBI's taxonomy places the organism in Eukaryota, Metazoa, Chordata, Amphibia, Anura, Bufonidae. The transcript has 3 exons. The record is from RefSeq and is a predicted model, not a curated record.